Acinonyx jubatus (cheetah) is the source of this 1374-nucleotide long non-coding RNA. RefSeq lists it as uncharacterized. The record is from RefSeq and is a predicted model, not a curated record. Lineage: Eukaryota; Metazoa; Chordata; Mammalia; Carnivora; Felidae. The transcript is spliced from 3 exons.
UGCCUUGUCUGUGCAUGUGCCCCAGCUUUAGGCUAAGAGCAGGAGAAUGCUGUGACAGCUUGUAGUCACCAGCCCCAGCCAGGGCAUGGGGGAGCACUUGCAAAAGCCUGUGCUCUCUGGUCUCAGCCAGUGCUGCAGCUGCUGGCUCCACCCAUCCCAGCAAGGUGGUGGGAAGAUGCCACAUCGGAGCCUGCCCGCCUGCCCAUCCCAGCCGGUUAUAUGGAAAGUGCAACGAUGGUGUCUACCCGCCUCUCUGACUGACCUCCCUAGCUCCUCUAGCCAAUCCCCCCAGAUUGGUAAAGAACAGCAAAAACCUCCAGAAACAACUGCUUUGGCUGAACAAGAACACGAAGAUUCCAAGUGGACAGUAGAAUAAAAAAGGGACCACAAAAGAACUACAUACCCAGUCCCAUGUCUCCAGAAAGCCCCCAGAAUGCUUUCGGAGUAUUCAACCUCACUACAAAUAAAGACAUUCAACUUAAAACUGCACAGAAAGAUGGACUCUCAAAAUGAAAAAGAUUCUACAGCUGAUGGCGCUCAGUGUAAUCAGGUUGCUGACAGCGUGAGUAAGCAGGCAGCACCGUUUGGAGUAUUUGGAACAACUUAGCUGGAGGGCAACUUGGACACAAUUGUGAUGAGUCCUUUAACUGUUCAUGUGCUUUGACUCAGUAAUUCCUCUUUGGGAACCCAUAUUAAGGACAUGGAAAAACUUAUGUACAAUGUUUUUAUCACUAAGUUACUUGAAAUUGAAAAAAGAUCUUGGAAACGAUGUGCUACAACCUGAGUGUUCGUGUCUUCCCAAAAUUUGUAUGUUGAAAUCCUAACCCGUAAAAGUGAUAGUAUUAGGUGGGGCCUGAGCUAAUGGGAUUGGUGCCCUUAUAAGAGGCUCCAGACAGAUCCCUAACCACCUUCUACCAGGUGAAGCUACAGCAAGAAGUCUGAAGCCCAGAAGAGGACCCUCCCCUGCCCAGCAGGCAUCCUGAUCUCAGAGUCCAUCCUCCAAGGACUGUGGCAAUAAAACUCUGCUGCUUAUAGGCCGCCCAUUCUGUAGCAUUUUGUUAGAGCAGCGCUAACAGCCUAAGACACAAUGAAUCCUAAUGAUAGAAAGGUAGUUGUAUAGGGGCGCCUGGGUGCCUCAGUCAUUUAAGCAUCCAACUUCAGCUCAGUCAUGACCUCGCAGUUCAUGAGUUCGAGCCCCAUGCCGGGCUCUGUGCUGACAGCAUGGAGCCGAAGACUGCUUGGGAUUCUAUGUCUCCCUCUCUCCCUGCUCCUCCCCCCUCAUGCUCUGUCUCUCGCUCUCUCCCAGUCUCUCUCUCAAAAAUAAAUAAACAUAAAAUUUCAAAAAGAAAGGUAGUUGUAUAAAUGAUGUACUCA